UCUUCACCAGGUCACCUGUAGUUCAGGGCUCAGCCAGACAUAGGCAGAGUUUAUAUGCAGCAUCUGGGAUUCCCUCUCUCCGGGUGGCUCCCAUUCAGGGUUCACUCUUUACCUCCCAGCUGCUGUGGUUGUCCUCAAACACUGUCCUGUAGUUCUUCAAGCCAGAGUGACUGAAUAAAUCUAAUGAAGCUGAUGAGUGUCAAAGAGAACUUAGAAAACUGAAGUUUGAAUCCAUUAUCUCUGACUCACGGCAUACCAGAUUGCUUAAAGAAAAAGAAGAAUCUUUAAUG
This is a non-coding RNA of Odocoileus virginianus texanus, 290 nucleotides long. NCBI's taxonomy places the organism in Eukaryota, Metazoa, Chordata, Mammalia, Artiodactyla, Cervidae. The record is from RefSeq and is a predicted model, not a curated record.